RNAcentral lists this ribosomal RNA (48 nucleotides) under Haemonchus contortus (barber pole worm). Its description in RNAcentral is "partial 18S ribosomal RNA". Lineage: Eukaryota; Metazoa; Nematoda; Chromadorea; Rhabditida; Trichostrongylidae. The record is from RNAcentral.
GAGAAGUCGUAACAAGGUUCCGUAGGUGAACCUGCAGAUGGAUCAUCG